GAUCCUGGCUCAGGAUGAACGCUGGCGGCGUGCCUAACACAUGCAAGUCGAGCGAAGCGAUCGAGAUGAAGUUUUCGGAUGGAUUCCUGAUUGACUGAGCGGGCGGACGGGUGAAGGUAACGCGUGGGUAACCUGCCUCAUACAGGGGGGAUAACAGUUAGAAAUGACUGCUAAUACCGCAUAAGCGCACAGUACCACAUGGUACGGUGUGAAAAACUCCGGUGGU
RNAcentral lists this ribosomal RNA (226 nucleotides) under uncultured bacterium. RNAcentral's name for it is "partial 16S ribosomal RNA". It matches the Rfam family "Bacterial small subunit ribosomal RNA", at positions 15 to 219 of the family's 1533-position model. The record is from RNAcentral.